This 683-nucleotide small RNA is filed under the name Pongo abelii (Sumatran orangutan). RNAcentral's name for it is "retained intron". Lineage: Eukaryota; Metazoa; Chordata; Mammalia; Primates; Hominidae. The record is from RNAcentral.
AGUCUGCGCAGGGAUUGGCGGGACUGCGCGGCGGCGACAACAGACAUGUCGGGGGUCAGGGGCCUGUCGCGGCUGCUGAGCGCUCGGCGCCUGGCGCUGGCCAAGGCGUGGCCAACAGUGUUGCAAACAGGAGCCCGAGGUUUUCACUUCACUGUUGAUGGGAACAAGAGGGCAUCCGCUAAAGUUUCAGAUUCCAUUUCUGCUCAGUAUCCAGUAGUGGAUCAUGAAUUUGAUGCAGUGGUGGUAGGCGCUGGAGGGGCAGGCUUGCGAGCUGCAUUUGGCCUUUCCGAGGCAGGGUUUAAUACAGCAUGUGUUACCAAGCUGUUUCCUACCAGGUCACACACUGUUGCAGCGCAGGUAAGAGAAAGGUGCCCCACUGUGCUCCGAGUCCGUGCAGGUCCUGCACAGCCUCACACUUUCUACCUGGGCAGCCUCCUGCCUCCUCCCCGUGCUCCAGCCAUAUGGCCUCUUGCUGUGCCUUGCUCACUCAGCUCACCCUCUCAGGGGUCUCUCCCUGGAGCCUCUUCCCUGAAGACUUUGAACGGUGGGAGCCUUGUUGUCACUCCUAAUUCAGACUCCAGUCACACUUGGGUUUUCUCUGACCAUCUCGCCUACUGCCCUCCCCACCCACCCCCGCCGCCCCAACACCUUAAGAAAAGGAGAUCACCUAAAGAGGAGGAAUC